GUUUGUUUGUUUUUACACUUAGUUGCCAUCAUUGGUGGUGCAGCAGCGGCCGGGGUCGUUGUCAUCAUAGCGAUAAUUGUUUCCAUAUUCCUCAUCAGAAGGCGCCGAUCAAAACCUAGAGACGAAAAGGAACAGUCUCCCCAGGCUGACGAAGGAACUGUAGACAACAUCUACUACGGUGGAGUUGCGUUCGCAGCCAAUGGCAACGCUUCUACCAACGGCAAUGUAUCAAUUGGCCAAUCAGAAGGAACUGUGGACAACCAAUUAUACGCUUACUCGGGACCAACCAAUGGUAAUUCCAGUUCGACUGACCAAUCAGAAGGAAGUGUGGACAAUCAUCUAUACGCGGAAACUAGUACUACCAACGGUACUCUUCCAUUUGACCAAUCAGAGGGAACGGUGGAUAACCAUCUAUACGCGGGAACUGGGAACGCAUGUUUGGAGACAAGAGAUUAUGACAGCGUCCAGGAUAGCGUGUAUUACAACGUAGCGCACACUUCUGAUGAAGGCGUCGUUGAGAAUGAUAUCUACUGCUGAAAAACACGUUAUCUGAAAUUAUAAUACGAUUACUUCAUUCGUCAAAGUAUAAACCAGACCAUUCUACUAACCGAAGUUGUUUUAGAAUAUGAACAACAAACUGUUUCACUGCAAAGUUAAAUGUAUGAUCAUAACAAAUAAGAUAAUAUUUAAAUAGCAAUAACCAAGCCUUUUGAUGAUAUGUAAAUUUAUCAACGCGACAAAGUAUCCACGGUGCACCGGUGAUAUACAUGAACAAAGUUAGGUUUCCACAAUUUAUAAUUUCUUUACGUGAUCAUGCAUGCAUGUAUGUUAAAGCAUGGGGCCAUCACUAUGUAAAUACUGUACAUAUUGUGUUGACCGUUGUUCAGUUUGUCUGAAAACCGUAUACGUAAUUCUACUGUUUAAUUAACAUGUCCUAUGCUGUAUAGGUCACUGCCAUGAUUUAUUCAAUCGCAUUAUCUUACUUACUUACUUACAAUCGCAUUAUCAGGCAAAGAAAAUAUUGAAUAA
This is a long non-coding RNA of Branchiostoma belcheri (Belcher's lancelet), 1029 nucleotides long. RefSeq lists it as uncharacterized. The transcript is spliced from 3 exons. NCBI's taxonomy places the organism in Eukaryota, Metazoa, Chordata, Leptocardii, Amphioxiformes, Branchiostomatidae. The record is from RefSeq and is a predicted model, not a curated record.